Long non-coding RNA from Oncorhynchus kisutch (coho salmon), 3259 nucleotides. RefSeq lists it as uncharacterized. NCBI's taxonomy places the organism in Eukaryota, Metazoa, Chordata, Actinopteri, Salmoniformes, Salmonidae. The transcript is spliced from 7 exons. The record is from RefSeq and is a predicted model, not a curated record.
ACGAAUAGUCACACGUUCAUAAUAAUUUCUAUUUAAUGUUGAACUGCAAUAAUAAACUCAGUUUGCUAAAUUGAGUCAAAACAUUUUAGGUGCUGCUGAAGCUGUAUGCCAAGGAUUACAAAACACACUUUGAAGCCCUGGUCCUGAAUUACUUGGCUGUAUUUCAGGAGAAGAGACUGCAGCACCUGCUCAUCUGUAGAGCCCAGGCACCCAGUCACUCAGUCAAGGUGGCUGAGAACGAAUUCCUUGGAGUCUGGGACCAGAGGCUGUCAGAGCUGCUGGACAAGAGUGGCGAUUACCUCCAGCUUAAGGAGUGCCUGUCCACUCACCCAGCAGUGGUGUCAGAGGAGCUGAGGGCGUGAGAGAGGAGCAAUGCGGAGGCUGAGUGCUCUAUGCAUGGUCCACUCACCUGGCUCGUCAGCUGUGGAGAGCUUCCUGGCUCGUCAGCUGUGGAGAGCUUCCCGCGGCAGAGCUGGCCCGGCGCUCUGCCGUGGCACAGGCCAACACAUGGGCUCUCCAGGGAUUGUGAGAUGAGCACCGUGGUCUGCUGAAAGAGCUAGGUGUGGUCCGAGCACAGGCUGACAGUCAGCUGAAAGAAGAGCGGAGUAAGACCUUUACUCUACUGCAGAUACUGGAGAAUGCCCCAGUCAAGACUGAAGCUGACCAGCUGAGGGACAACCAGCAUCUUGCCAUGCAAUGUCAGCAGUUGGAGGGAGAAAUCAAGGUUCUGGCCAAGAGAAGAGCAUCACCUAGUGCUCUUGAGCUUGAAAAGCUGAAUGCUAAAGUUGUGAAGGUGGAGAUGACUGUAUUGUCCUCUAAACACCAAGAAGAGUUACUGAGGAUGACCACGCUCCGAAACCACAAGGAGGACGCUCUGAGGACGCUGAAGGAGACUCUGAGAAGAUCACAGCAGGAGGGAGAACAGUUAUUUAAGUCUGCCCCAGACAAUAUUAAGAAUAGAAUUUGAAAUGACCACAAAACAACAGGUGAAUAGUUAUGAGCCCUAAUUGAGAUGUUUGUUAUUGCAGUCAUGGGGGGAGAGGAUCUGCAUGCCAGACUGACAACCACCAGAGGACGUACGGUCCAAAGCAACAUUCUCCUUGAAAAGAACAAACUUGAGGAAGUGAAACGGCUACAAAAAAAUAAUUUCUGAAUUGGUGAGCCGUCUUUCCACUCAGCAAGGAGAUAUUUCCAAGUGGAAGGCUAGAGCAGUUAAGCUGAAGGAGAGGAGGGACGUGGUUGAAACACCUCCAUCUGCAUGUACUCAUACAAAACGACGCCUUCCCAUGACUUCUGAGGACCUCAACUCUCCCAUGAAGUUCCUUCACUCUCCCAAGAAGUUCCUCGACUCACCCAAGAGAAAGUUCUUUGAUGUCCGUCCAGGCUCUGAAUGUCGAUUAACUGUCCCAAUCCGUUUUUUGAUAACUCCAACCUUGGAACCGUUCAAGAUGCAACUGUGGAUUAAAAAGGAGGAAUGGUGGCCUGUCACCAAAGCAAGCUGAUCUAUGCAAACAGCAGUAAAUGAUUUACCUAAAUUGCACUAAUCAUUCAUUGUUUAUCUAUUUUUCAAUAUUCAAAGUGUUUGUUUUCGAUAGCCUUAUAUUUUAAAAUAAAGAGCAGUUUAUUUUAAUAAGACUCAUCUUUACCUGCUCUCUAUGUAAUAGCACUUUCAGAUGUUCUGACAGCAGAUGGCAUGCUUACACCAUUUUGUUUGAGAAUGUUUUAUUUUGACAAUGAUGGAGGAUUUUAAACUUGGUGUCUAUGCAAAGUGGUCUUGAUGUUCAGUUUCUCCCAUUAAUAAUUUUCAGACUAAUGCUUUUACAUUUUUAACCGUAGAUUGCAGUUUUUGAGGAUAUUGUACAUUCAUGGGACUUUCAUGACUCCUCAUUGGAGUUAAAUUAAAUUUUUGAAGAUGGAACAAUUGGGUAAUUAAGCUAUAUGGCAGAAUUAAACUCAGAAUUAUUCUAAAUAACUGUAUUUGCCUGUAUGUUGUGCAGGUAAACAGGAGGCCUGACUCAGUCCACUUAGACUUGGGUCUCAGUAGCUGCCCCACGGCUACAUUCUCUUGGUCGCUUCCUCUGCAUGGCUUCACAUUUCAUUUAAGAGGGUGCAGUAACCGCAUUCUUCCUGUUCUCUCUGUUGGGAUUACUGUAAGAAGGGUACUGUGCCUUCAGAAGGAGAACUGGCACCAUGGUAAAUAACCUUUAGAGUUCUGUAGCACAUCAUCAAAGGUAAUUUGAUCACAGGUUCCCAAAUGGAAGGGAAUUAAGUGAUGUUUUCUGACUGCCUGGCAAAGUAAAGAAGACAGAUCUUAAGAUACACGGAAUGCAUUACUUAAUUUGUACUCCAAGACAUUCCAGUGACUGAGCCCUGCAUACUUAUCAUGCAGUAGUUUUCUGUAACCUAAUGACUGCACCAGCUAAAGACACGACCGAUUGGGUUUGAAAGUGCCACAAGACUGGUAGACUUCUGAGCUGAAGUCUCUGCAUUACCUUUGAGAGUUAACAGGUUCAGGCAAGAUUAUUCAGUACACAUGUGCUCCAAAAGUUAUUUUCAUUAAACAUUGUGAUGCCAUCGAGGCUGAAAUACUUUAUUUACCAAAACCUCUAGCCGGAGAGGAGUAGUGGUUUUCAUUAUUUCACAAAUAUCAACAUACAGUAACUCUCAAAUCUGGAAAUGGAAGAGCUGAAGUCUGCACUCAGAUUAUCAACAAAAUACACUUUUCCCAAGCUUCUCUUGUACACCUAACUCAUUAAUAGUAUUAUCAAGACUUGAUAUCUUUUGAUACAUUUGUUCCAAGGAUAUCACAAUAUUGAUGGUAAAUAGGUUUGCCAGUUUUCUACAGGUUUUUUCUUAUGUAGGCUAUACAAGAAGAAGACGGAACACAAUUGUUCAGAAAAAGAACAAAGUCCUUGUGAAGAAGUUCAAGAAUAAAGGGAGACCUUCUUAAAAGGGAAUUACAGUCUCAAUACUGAAUCAGACAUUCCUCAAGCACAAGUUGUCGGAGUAGCCCUCAUUGCAAUUAAAGUAAGCAAAAGUGUCAAAGUUUGAACCUCUCCCAGCAGCCCACCUAAUUGCUGAGGUGGCUUGUUUCAUCUAAUAGUAUUAUUUGUAUAUUUCCAUAAUGUGUUACAGUGGGAAUCAUCCAGGACAGGUCUUUCCCUUGUUCAAUUAUUCAGGGCUCAGUCACAGACAGUCAUUAAAGUUUCAUGGGAGGCAAUUUGGAGGCAGUGCUGGUUGCUUUAGAAAACAAAAAGCC